CUGCUGUGAUGACCAACUUAGGACACCUUUGGAUUAAUCAUGAAAAGAACUAAGUGAAUCUGAGCAGU
RNAcentral lists this small nucleolar RNA (68 nucleotides) under Salvator merianae (Argentine black and white tegu). Its description in RNAcentral is "Small nucleolar RNA SNORD58 (ENSSMRG00000016582.1)". It matches the Rfam family "Small nucleolar RNA SNORD58". Rfam says of the family: snoRNA U58 is found in introns 1, 3 and 6 of the ribosomal protein RPL17 gene in humans. U58 is a member of the C/D class of snoRNA which contain C (UGAUGA) and D (CUGA) box motifs. The record is from Rfam by way of RNAcentral. Lineage: Eukaryota; Metazoa; Chordata; Lepidosauria; Squamata; Teiidae.